This 79-nucleotide transfer RNA is filed under the name Dacryopinax primogenitus. RNAcentral's name for it is "tRNA-Met". It matches the Rfam family "tRNA". From Rfam's summary of the family: Transfer RNA (tRNA) molecules are approximately 80 nucleotides in length. Their secondary structure includes four short double-helical elements and three loops (D, anti-codon, and T loops). Lineage: Eukaryota; Fungi; Basidiomycota; Dacrymycetes; Dacrymycetales; Dacrymycetaceae. The record is from RNAcentral.
AGCAGGGUGGCGCAGCGGAAGCGCGCAGGGCUCAUAUGUUGAAACCCUGAGGUCACUAGAUCAAGACUAGUUCCUGCUA